RNAcentral lists this ribosomal RNA (253 nucleotides) under uncultured prokaryote. Its description in RNAcentral is "partial 16S ribosomal RNA". It matches the Rfam family "Bacterial small subunit ribosomal RNA", at positions 525 to 777 of the family's 1533-position model. The record is from RNAcentral.
ACGAAGGGGGCGAGCGUUGUUCGGAUUUACUGGGCGUAAAGGGCGCGUAGGCGGCCGAUCAAGUCAGGCGUGAAAGCCCCGGGCUCAACCUGGGAAUUGCGCUUGGGACUGGUUGGCUUGAGUUCGGGAGAGGAGCGUGGAAUUCCCAGUGUAGAGGUGAAAUUCGUAGAUAUUGGGAAGAACACCGGUGGCGAAGGCGGCUAUCUGGCCCGUAAUUGACGCUGAGGCGCGAAAGCGUGGGGAGCAAACAGGA